This is a small nucleolar RNA of Monodelphis domestica (gray short-tailed opossum), 89 nucleotides long. The record is from Ensembl. Lineage: Eukaryota; Metazoa; Chordata; Mammalia; Didelphimorphia; Didelphidae.
AUGUCUCAAUAAUGGCAGCACUGGGCUGUGCUCCUGUGAAGACAGUUAGUGCCCCCUGGGCCUUUGACUCCAGGGGCCCAAAGAGUCUU